This 440-nucleotide ribosomal RNA is filed under the name uncultured bacterium. RNAcentral's name for it is "partial 16S ribosomal RNA". It matches the Rfam family "Bacterial small subunit ribosomal RNA", at positions 338 to 795 of the family's 1533-position model. The record is from RNAcentral.
CCUACGGGGGGCAGCAGUGGGGAAUAUUGCACAAUGGGGGAAACCCUGAUGCAGCGACGCCGCGUGAAUGAAGAAGUAUUUCGGUAUGUAAACUUCUAUCAGCAGGGAAGAAAAUGACGGUACCUGACUAAGAAGCCCCGGCUAACUACGUGCCAGCAGCCGCGGUAAUACGUAGGGGGCAAGCGUUAUCCGGAUUUACUGGGUGUAAAGGGAGCGUAGGCGGCAGUGCAAGUCAGGAGUGAAAUCCCGGGGCUUAACUCCGGGACUGCUUUUGAAACUGUGUUGCUAGAUUGCAGGAGAGGUAAGUGGAAUUACUAGUGUAGCGGUGAAAUGCGUAGAUAUUAGGAGGAACACCAGUGGCGAAGGCGGCUUACUGGACUGUAAAUGACGCUGAGGCUCGAAAGCGUGGGGAGCAAACAGGAUUAGAUACCCGAGUAGUC